This 496-nucleotide ribosomal RNA is filed under the name Maymena sp. MYSM-016-ARG. RNAcentral's name for it is "partial 28S ribosomal RNA". The record is from RNAcentral. Lineage: Eukaryota; Metazoa; Arthropoda; Arachnida; Araneae; Mysmenidae.
UUUGAAGAGAGAGUUCAAUAGUACGUGAAACUGCUUAGAGGUAAUUGGGUGGGCCCUCGAAAUCCUGGGGCGAGGUUAUUCAGUGACUGGUCCUACGCGCGUCGUGGUCGUUCCCCCUAAAAAGGGCGCGAUCGCGGUGUGUCGGAGGCUCCGGCUACGCAUUUGAUCUCGCUCGAAAGGACGCCGCAACCGGUUGAGUGUCGGCCUUAAGGGCGGGACCUGGAAGGUGGCCGUCGGCAUCCCCUCGUGGGGCGUCGGCGGUGUUACAGCCAGUUCGCCGCACGGCGCGUCGCUCGACCGUGGUUCUGUCGGGCCCUUAUUGGGGUCCCGUCGUCUCCCUUUGAGUGCGGGGGUAGGAUGGCACGGGUGCGCGGCUUCCACUCCCUGGCUCACGUACUCGAGGUCGUGGCCGGGAGUGCCGUGUAUCUGAUAGCUGCCUGCCUGUCCGUAUGGGACUGGACGUUCGUGGCGAGUAGAUCGGUCACCCACCCUUCCC